CUGCAUCUCUAUUGGUUAGGCGCUGG
RNAcentral lists this non-coding RNA (26 nucleotides) under Rattus norvegicus (Norway rat). The record is from RNAcentral. Lineage: Eukaryota; Metazoa; Chordata; Mammalia; Rodentia; Muridae.